CACGGAGUUAGCCGAUGCUUAUUCAUACGGUACAUGCAGGGAGUCACUCGUGACUCUUGUUAUUCCCGUAUAAAAGAAGUUUACAAUCCAUAAGACAGUCAUCCUUCACGCGACUUGGCUGGUUCAGGCUCUCGCCCAUUGACCAAUAUUCCUCACUGCUGCCUCCCGUAGGAGUCUGGUCCGUGUCUCAGUACCAGUGUGGGGGUUCAACCUCUCAGUUCCCCUACCCAUCGUCGCCUUGGUGAGCCGUUACCUCACCAACUAGCUAAUGGGACGCAUGCCUAUCUCACAGCGAAUUUCAUUUCCUCUAGCUUGGAUGCCCAAGCUGGAGUGUACGCGGUAUUAGUCCGUCUUUCGACGGGUUAUCCCCCUCUGUGAGGCAAGUUGCAUACGCGUUACGCACCCGUGCGCCGGUCGCCAUCAGUCUUAGCAAGCUAAGACCAUGCUGCCCCUGACUUGCAUGUGUUAAGCCUAUCGCUAGCGUU
RNAcentral lists this ribosomal RNA (485 nucleotides) under uncultured Porphyromonas sp. RNAcentral's name for it is "partial 16S ribosomal RNA". Lineage: Bacteria; Pseudomonadati; Bacteroidota; Bacteroidia; Bacteroidales; Porphyromonadaceae. The record is from RNAcentral.